RNAcentral lists this long non-coding RNA (540 nucleotides) under Gallus gallus (chicken). Lineage: Eukaryota; Metazoa; Chordata; Aves; Galliformes; Phasianidae. The record is from RNAcentral.
CAGAAGUCUUCCAGGAUCAUAUACACAGCGUUGGUGACAUUUCGAGGCACAGGUUUGGCAAAUUUCAUUCGACUGUUCACAACAAUGCUGCCAUUUCUGAAGUUCAGGAUUUCCAGAUUCUGGAAGCCUGUUAGAUUUGACUGAAGGUACGGUACCAGCAGUUCCAAGAAUCGUUGCUCUAAUGCUUUAUAUUCAGGGGAAUUCUUAUUGAACAGGUCUUCUGAAAACAUCAUAUUGGUAACCCGAAGACUGAAAAACACAACUAAAGCUCGUGAUGGAACAGGAGUGCUAUUGUGAAUUUCAUGUGUGGGCCAAGCCACGCCGGCCAUCUCUGUGGAGUGGGCAUGGGUAGUUAGCUCCAUGUGACUGUCAGUCAUGCUCUUUGCCUCCUCACUCGGCUCUGGAGAAAAGCUGACCAUGCUCACAUGAUCCAGGUCCACUGAAACAUCCAGGACUCUUGUUGUUUCAUCUCCCACCUUUGCUAAGGUAACCACAGAUGAUGACACUGUGGUUGUCAUGGGAGGGAGAUGGGAUGGAAGC